ACCUGGCUGGCUCAGAAGAGCAUGUGACUUUUAAUCUCAGGGUCGUGAGUUCGAGUCCCAUGUGGGGUG
RNAcentral lists this transfer RNA (69 nucleotides) under Felis catus (domestic cat). It matches the Rfam family "tRNA". From Rfam's summary of the family: Transfer RNA (tRNA) molecules are approximately 80 nucleotides in length. Their secondary structure includes four short double-helical elements and three loops (D, anti-codon, and T loops). RNAcentral also lists the same sequence under 2 other names. The record is from Rfam by way of RNAcentral. Lineage: Eukaryota; Metazoa; Chordata; Mammalia; Carnivora; Felidae.